Molecule: non-coding RNA, 439 nt
Organism: Podarcis lilfordi (Lilford's wall lizard)
Lineage: Eukaryota; Metazoa; Chordata; Lepidosauria; Squamata; Lacertidae
Source: the annotation of a GenBank genome assembly
GCCUAGUCAAAUCCAGUAACACUUUGCUCCAGACUAUAUUUCAUCCCUCUGCAGAUGCUUGGUCUUUAGAAAUGCAAGUCUUGAGUUGCAUAGUGUCAGGGGUUCAGAGAGAGAGGCACAGGGUAGGCAGGAGAUGGAGAGCGAGGGGGAGGAAUUCCAAGCCAGCGAGGAAGAGGAUGACAAUGACUCAAGAGAUUCCAUGAGUCUUUCCAGCGAAUCAGAGGAUUCCCAGAAGGGGGCGCCGGUGGUCAAGGCCAGGGGAGCCCCAGGGGGGAAGUGUCAGGAGCAGGGUGCCAGCGGAGGAUCCCAAAGUGGCAGCUGGGCGUCAGGACCAGCCUCCCCACCAAAGUGCAGUGAAGGGGGUGGAGUUUCCAGUGUGUCAGAGGAAGCAGCUCCAGCAGCAGAGAAAGGAGGGGGGUCAGAGCAAGCCGCCCUCCCG